RNAcentral lists this non-coding RNA (30 nucleotides) under Rattus norvegicus (Norway rat). Lineage: Eukaryota; Metazoa; Chordata; Mammalia; Rodentia; Muridae. The record is from RNAcentral.
UGAAUACAGGAUUCAAGGCUCAGAUUAAUU